RNAcentral lists this ribosomal RNA (467 nucleotides) under uncultured bacterium. RNAcentral's name for it is "partial 16S ribosomal RNA". It matches the Rfam family "Bacterial small subunit ribosomal RNA", at positions 28 to 523 of the family's 1533-position model. The record is from RNAcentral.
GAUGAAUGCUGGCGGCGUGCCUAACACAUGCAAGUCGAGCGGCAGCGCGAGUAGUUUACUACUUGGCGGCGAGCGGCGGACGGCUGAGUAACGCGUGGGAACGUGCCCCAAAGUGAGGAAUAACUGCCCGAAAGGGUGGCUAAUGCCGCAUAUGAUCUUCGGAUUAAAGGAUUUAUCCGCUUUGGGAGCGGCCCGCGUUAGAGUAGGUAGUUGGUGAGGUAAUGGCUCACCAAGCCGACGAUCUAUAGCUGGUCUGAGAGGAUGAUCAGCCAGACUGGAACUGAGACACGGUCCAGACUCCUACGGGAGGCAGCAGUGAGGAAUCUUCCACAAUGGGCGAAAGCCUGAUGGAGCAACGCCGCGUGCAGGAUGAAGGCCCUAGGGUCGUAAACUGCUUUUAUAAGUGAAGAAUAUGACGGUAACUUAUGAAUAAGCACCGGCUAACUACGUGCCAGCCGCCGCGGUAA